UAGAUUUCAUAGAGCUUAGGUGUCCAUCAUUGCGGAUGGGUGAAAAGGGAAUCCGGUGAGAAUCCGGAGCGAAGCCGUCACUGUGUCAGGGAGUCUGUGCUUGUUAUCACUGAGAAAUUGGGAAGAUAGCACAGAUGUUGAUCGAAGUCAGGAGACCUGCCUAAGUUUUGCAAUUUUG
This 178-nucleotide non-coding RNA is filed under the name Butyrivibrio proteoclasticus. Lineage: Bacteria; Bacillati; Bacillota; Clostridia; Lachnospirales; Lachnospiraceae. The record is from RNAcentral.